UGGUGUGUCGAUAGCGGCGGGGAAACACCUGAUACCAUCCCGAACUCAGCAGUUAAGCCCGCUUGCGCCGAAGGUAGUGCCAGGGUAACUUGGUGUGAGACUAGGAAGACGCACCUU
This is a non-coding RNA of Bacteriovorax sp. BAL6_X, 117 nucleotides long. The record is from Rfam. Lineage: Bacteria; Pseudomonadati; Bdellovibrionota; Bacteriovoracia; Bacteriovoracales; Bacteriovoracaceae.